RNAcentral lists this long non-coding RNA (244 nucleotides) under Coccomyxa subellipsoidea. RNAcentral describes it as "long non-coding RNA (CSUB_LNC000494)". Lineage: Eukaryota; Viridiplantae; Chlorophyta; Trebouxiophyceae; Coccomyxaceae. The record is from RNAcentral.
GCCUUGUCAGCCCUUUUGUCGAUCCCAGUCUUAAGCGUGUUUGGUGGCAAGCUCAUCAAGCAAUUGACGAUCAGUAGAGCUGCAGCAACAAGGCCUUUGGAAAGCGCAACGUCACUGUACCACAUUGUCAGGUGGGUUCCUUUUGUUGGAAUCAGAAACACCUCGAUCCGUCGUAUGUUCUCUGAUGUUUUGACUUCAAAGACACUUCUUCAACUUAGUGUGGUGAAGUAACAUGAAUUUGGGC